RNAcentral lists this ribosomal RNA (120 nucleotides) under Danaus plexippus plexippus. Lineage: Eukaryota; Metazoa; Arthropoda; Insecta; Lepidoptera; Nymphalidae. The record is from RNAcentral.
GCCAACGUCCAUACCACGUUGAAUACACCGGUUCUCGUCCGAUCACCGAAGUUAAGCAACGUCGGGCGCGGUCAGUACUUGGAUGGGUGACCGCCUGGGAAUUGCAUAUCUUUAUUUUCA